CCUCGGGGGGCUGCAGUGGGGAAUAUUGGACAAUGGGGGGAACCCUGAUCCAGCCAUGCCGCGUGUGUGAAGAAGGCCCUCGGGUUGUAAAGCACUUUCAGUGAGGAAGAACGCCUGGUGGUUAAUACCCAUCAGGAAAGACAUCACUCACAGAAGAAGCACCGGCUAACUCCGUGCCAGCAGCCGCGGUAAUACGGAGGGUGCGAGCGUUAAUCGGAAUUACUGGGCGUAAAGCGCGCGUAGGUGGCUUGAUAAGCCGGUUGUGAAAGCCCCGGGCUCAACCUGGGAACGGCAUCCGGAACUGUCAAGCUAGAGUGCAGGAGAGGAAGGUAGAAUUCCCGGUGUAGCGGUGAAAUGCGUAGAGAUCGGGAGGAAUACCAGUGGCGAAGGCGGCCUUCUGGACUGACACUGACACUGAGGUGCGAAAGCGUGGGUAGCAAACAGGAUUAGAUACCCCAGUAGUC
RNAcentral lists this ribosomal RNA (464 nucleotides) under Vreelandella stevensii. RNAcentral describes it as "partial 16S ribosomal RNA". It matches the Rfam family "Bacterial small subunit ribosomal RNA", at positions 339 to 795 of the family's 1533-position model. Lineage: Bacteria; Pseudomonadati; Pseudomonadota; Gammaproteobacteria; Oceanospirillales; Halomonadaceae. The record is from RNAcentral.